GACGAACGCUGGCGGCGUGCCUAAUACAUGCAAGUCGAACGCACGAAGUUGAAGAGCUUGCUCUUUAACCAAGUGAGUGGCGGACGGGUGAGUAACACGUGGGUAACCUGCCCAUUAGAGGGGGAUAACAUUCGGAAACGGAUGCUAAUACCGCAUAGUUUCAGGAAUCGCAUGAUUCUUGAAGGAAAGGUGGCUUCGGCUACCACUAAUGGAUGGACCCGCGGCGUAUUAGCUAGUUGGUGAGGUAAUGGCUCACCAAGGCAAUGAUACGUAGCCGACCUGAGAGGGUGAUCGGCCACACUGGGACUGAGACACGGCCCAGACUCCUACGGGAGGCAGCAGUAGGGAAUCUUCCGCAAUGGACGAAAGUCUGACGGAGCAACGCCGCGUGAGUGAAGAAGGUUUUCGGAUCGUAAAACUCUGUUGUUAAAGAAGAACAAGGAUGAGAGUAACUGCUCAUCCCCUGACGGUAUUUAACCAGAAAGCCACGGCUAACUACGUGCCAGCAGCCGCGGUAAUACGUAGGUGGCAAGCGUUGUCCGGAUUUAUUGGGCGUAAAGCGAGCGCAGGCGGUUCUUUAAGUCUGGUGUGAAAGCCCCCGGCUCAACCGGGGAGGGUCAUUGGAAACUGGAGAACUUGAGUGCAGAAGAGGAGAGUGGAAUUCCACGUGUAGCGGUGAAAUGCGUAGAUAUGUGGAGGAACACCAGUGGCGAAGGCGACUCUCUGGUCUGUAACUGACGCUGAGGCUCGAAAGCGUGGGGAGCAAACAGG
This 771-nucleotide ribosomal RNA is filed under the name uncultured Vagococcus sp. RNAcentral describes it as "bacterial SSU rRNA". It matches the Rfam family "Bacterial small subunit ribosomal RNA", at positions 28 to 776 of the family's 1533-position model. Lineage: Bacteria; Bacillati; Bacillota; Bacilli; Lactobacillales; Enterococcaceae. The record is from RNAcentral.